GCAUAUCAAUAAGCGAGGAAAAGAAACCAACAGGGAUUGCCCCAGUAACGGCGAGUGAAGCGGCAACAGCUCAAAUUUGAAAUCUGGCCCCAGGCCCGAGUUGUAAUUUGCAGAGGAUGCUUUUGGCGCGGUGCCUUCCGAGUUCCCUGGAACGGGACGCCAUAGAGGGUGAGAGCCCCGUACAGGUUGGACACCAAGCCUUUGUAAAGCUCCUUCGACGAGUCGAGUAGUUUGGGAAUGCUGCUCUAAAUGGGAGGUACAUUUCUUCUAAAGCUAAAUAUUGGCCAGAGACCGAUAGCGCACAAGUAGAGUGAUCGAAAGAUGAAAAGCACUUUGGAAAGAGGGUUAAACAGCACGUGAAAUUGUUAAAAGGGAAGCGCUUGUGACCAGACUUGCGUCCGGUGAAUCACCCAGCUCUCGCGGCUGGGGCACUUCGCCGGCACAGGCCAGCAUCAGCUUGCCGUCGGGGACAAAAGCUUCAGGAACGUGGCUCCUCUCGGGGAGUGUUAUAGCCUGUUGCAUAAUACCCUUCGGCGGGCUGAGGUACGCGCUCCGCAAGGAUGCUGGCGUAAUGGUCAUCAGCGACCCGUCUUGAAACACGGACCAAGGAGUCAACCUUAUGUGCGAGUGUUUGGGUGUUAAACCCCUACGCGUAAUGAAAGUGAACGCAGGUGAGAGCUUCGGCGCAUCAUCGACCGAUCCUGAUGUUCUCGGAUGGAUUUGAGUAAGAGCAUAUAGGGUUGGACCCGAAAGAAGGUGAACUAUGCGUGUGUAGGGUGAAGCCAGAGGAAACUCUGGUGGAGGCUCGCAGCGGUUCUGACGUGCAAAUCGAUCGUCAAACAUGCGCAUGGGGGCGAAAGACUAAUCGAACCUUCUAGUAGCUGGUUUCCGCCGAAGUU
Molecule: ribosomal RNA, 899 nt
Filed under: Colletotrichum lupini
Lineage: Eukaryota; Fungi; Ascomycota; Sordariomycetes; Glomerellales; Glomerellaceae
Description: LSU rRNA
Rfam family: Eukaryotic large subunit ribosomal RNA
Source: RNAcentral